Molecule: non-coding RNA, 82 nt
Organism: Betaproteobacteria bacterium
Lineage: Bacteria; Pseudomonadati; Pseudomonadota; Betaproteobacteria
Source: Rfam
GCGAAGGUGGCGGAAUUGGUAGACGCACUGGAUUUAGGUUCCAGCGCCGAAAGGCAUGGGGGUUCGAGUCCCUUCCUUCGCA